UGGUUGGAUCAGUUUGCAAACAUAUAAUCUUCAAAUUUUUUUGCGACCGAAUCCAGGCCACG
RNAcentral lists this microRNA precursor (62 nucleotides) under Strongyloides ratti. RNAcentral's name for it is "microRNA str-mir-7880b precursor (str-mir-7880b-3)". Lineage: Eukaryota; Metazoa; Nematoda; Chromadorea; Rhabditida; Strongyloididae. The record is from miRBase by way of RNAcentral.